Molecule: ribosomal RNA, 585 nt
Filed under: Rhiginia ruficoria
Lineage: Eukaryota; Metazoa; Arthropoda; Insecta; Hemiptera; Reduviidae
Description: partial 28S ribosomal RNA
Rfam family: Eukaryotic large subunit ribosomal RNA
Source: RNAcentral
CUUGAAACACGGACCAAGGAGUUUAUUGUGUACGCAAGUCAUUGGGUAAUUAAAACCCAAAGGCGUAAUAAAAGUAAAUAGUAAUUUAAAAAAAGUAAUUUUUUUAAAUUCUUAAAGGAAGAAAGUUUUUUUUUAUUUUUUUUCUUCAAGAAUUAAAAAAAAAAAAAUCUUGCAUUCCUAGGGCGCUUGUCUCUCGCAUUGCGAGUAUAUGCGCACCUAUAGCGUACACGAUGAUACCCGAAAGAUGGUGAACUAUGCCUGGCCAGGACGAAGCCAGGGGAAACCCUGGUGGAGGUCCGCAGCGAUUCUGACGUGCAAAUCGAUCGUCAGAGCUGGGUAUAGGGGCGAAAGACCAAUCGAACCAUCUAGUAGCUGGUUCCCUCUGAAGUUUCCCUCAGGAUAGCUUGCGCUCAUUGAAGCGAGUCUCAUCCGGUAGAGCGAAUGAUUAGAGGCAUUGGGGUCGAAACGACCUCAACCUAUUCUCAAACUCCAAAUAGAUGAGAACCUCGGCUUUCUUAAAAUUGAAGCCGUAGGAUUUGGAUCAGAGUGCAAAGUGGGCCAAUUUUGGUAAGCAGAACUGGCGCU